RNAcentral lists this unclassified non-coding RNA (3306 nucleotides) under Leishmania donovani. Its description in RNAcentral is "gene:unknown". Lineage: Eukaryota; Euglenozoa; Kinetoplastea; Trypanosomatida; Trypanosomatidae. The record is from RNAcentral.
ACAAGGCCAACACAGGCGUUGAGGGUCGCUGGAACCGAACGCCGCUGCUCAGGCAGAGAGGGCGACCUCCUUGGUUCGACGGUGAACUCUUUUUUUUUAUCAGAACCCUUACUCGCACAACUCUCUUCGUUUUUUUUUUCGAUGCGGUGCCGCUCGAUCCGGUGCGGAAUAGCGCAGAAAAAGUUCACACAAAAAGUCGAGACGCGCGUGAAGGGAAGCGCAGCCGCUACCUCCGCCACCGCAACUGUUCACUGGGAGAAUGCACCGCCGCUACCGCCCCGGUGUGGGGCUCCGCAAUUCCCAACGGGUGCUUCGACCCCGGACGCGUUCAGGUCUGCGGCUGCACAGCGUACCGGAUGCAGUGAGCAUUGGACAAAGUGCCGUUCGCAGAACAGUGGAUCACAGUCAAUGGCGAAGAAAGGGGAGAUGGAGCGCCGCAGUGGAUUUGACGUUGCCGGUGCUGCUGAUCUGACAGGGGCGAGCACGGCCUCCGACGUUGUGUUUUUGCCGGCGAAAGACAAAGCAGUAACGGAAUCUCUGCUGACACGGGAGCAAGCCACUGUGUGCGGCUUGGCGUGCCAAGGUGCAUCGCUGUUCAUUGGGGGCGAGGCGGGGACCGGCAAGUCGCACCUAUUGCGCGCCAUCGCAGCGAAACUGACGGCACAGGGAUACCGCAUCGCCAUCACGGCUUCCACCGGUAUCGCCGCGUUGAACAUCGGUGGCAACACUUUUCACAGCACCUUUGGCGUGCCUCUACCCACCCCAGAUGAUAUGACGGACCUGUCGACGCAGCCGCCACUCACGGAUGCCGCCUUCGACAUCGACGACGGUCAAGAGAGCGGGGGCGGCGAUGGUGAAGGAAUCGAGGAAGAGGUGGUCGUAGACGACUUCGCAACAGGGUCCUCGGUCGACAAACUCGGACACCCGCGUCGACUGCGAUUCAGAAACACCGGGGUCCUCGCGGAGGUGGACGUAGUGGUCAUCGACGAGGUUUCCAUGCUUCACGCGGGGGUGCUUGAGUCUUUUGAGCGGGCCGCCCGUCGCAUGGCAGGGCGUGACGCCAGUCAGCCGUUCGGGGGUUUGCAGAUGAUUCUCUCCGGCGACUUUCUGCAACUCACGCCGUUCGCCUCGGUCGGCGCCCCUUUCGGCAGGCGGCGGCGGUACCGUCAAGUUGGUGACGGAAGGCCCAACAAAGACGACGACUGCAUCGUCUGCCAGUGCGUCAGUCCUGAGAGCGACGAUGCGCAGCCGUCCGCAGACGAGGCCACGAUCCCCGUUGAGGCGGCAGAGAAGUCGUGCCGCACCGCCGUCGACGCGGCCGCGUCUGAGGUAGAGAGCGCAUCGGCUGCCAAACACAGCAAAAGGAAACGAGUCUCCCGUGCUUCUCAUUGUAGCGCCGGGAAGGGCCGCCGCUGCGACCUGUGGUACUAUGACAAGCCCAUGUUUGAGAGCUGGUGCUUCACUCACUAUCUCCUUCAUGUGCAGCUUCGAGAACCACAGCGCCAGCAGGAUCAACGGUUCGCCGCCGACUUGAAUCGCCUGCGGCAGGGCAGGCUUCCCUAUCGACUGUCGCGCUCCGGUUUUCUGAACGCGGCGGUCGAGGAUGCCGUGCGCCUUUUACCGACCAAGGGGGCUGUCAAGAACUACAACGACCGCAAGAUGUUGGAGCUGGAGGGAGAGGAGCGACUUUUUCCAACGCAGCUCACCAUGACAGAGGCGAUGCGCCCGCCUACCUUUGGUACUACAACAGGGCAGAGACAAGAAGAUGCCGACGACGGCGGCCAGUGGGGAGCCGCACUGCUUGUGCACUAUCGUUUCUGUUCCCCUACUGGAAGUGCUAGAAGUGCGCUCAAGCAGCGAGGGCGACUACGGGACAUGGAGGCGAUUGGCGUCGCUCGUAACCUGGAGGAGGUUUGCCUCUUUCCUCGCGGCUCCGUGCAGGUCUACGGCCUCCCCUCACCGCUCUCGUACUCCACAUCCUUGUCUGCCGUGUGUGUGCGCUGCAGUGGCGCAACUCACUGCAUCGCAGAGGACCGACGAUGCACUGUGAAGAACGUUCUGGAGAUGUGGUCUGGAGUCCCCAGCGCCCGAAACGGCAAGGCCACGUCGGGGAACCUCAAUGGCGCUCAGGAGUACGCACGUGCAGUCGCUCGCCUGCAGCCACUGGGUGCUAUGUUUCCGCGAGAACUCGUGCGUGUGGAAGCUGUGGAUGCGCGGCAGCUAACGCGUCGGCUGCAACCGUUUAUGCAGGAGAGCUUGCGCCAGGCUAUCCGAAAGGAUACCGUGCUCCAGGAUAAGCUGCUGAAAGUCGGGUGUCGUGUGAUGCUGCUACGCAACUUGACGCUUCAGUAUGUGAACGGCUCUCUUGGCAGGGUGGUUGGGUUUCGAUCGUUCUCGGCGUGUAAGGGUCUGUUGCCGGAGGAGAUGAAGGCGCGUGCGACUCCGGCAAACCUGCUAGAGCGUGUCGCCGUGUAUUCCACAGGGAACGGACCGGGCGGCGCCGCAAGCGCUGUGCAGGUGCCUGUAGUGCGGAUGGACGCAGACGGCAAAGAUGUCGCGAUUCCUUGGAUCACGCUGCCGAUUUCGAUCACGAAGCAGGACUGGUGCUUCACCGUGGAUGCUGCCUGCAUCCCGUUGACACCGGCCUACGCGUUUACCGUGCACAAAGUCCAAGGCGUUACGCUGGACCAUGCCGUGCUCUUUGACGCCGGCGAUAUGUUUCCGUGUGACCACCUCGUUUACGUCGCAUCGAGUCGCGUGCGCAAGUUCGAGCACCUGCGCAUUGUGAAUCUCUCUCCGCGGAUGAUAUCGGUGCACAGGCCCUCGCUGCUCUUCACCCAAAACAUCCCAGGCGUCGAGGCCGCGGCAAAGACGUGGGCGGCAUGGAGGUCGAUGCCGCUUUCGGGACAGUUGUUCUACCUUCCCUCUCACCUUGGCCGAGAAUCAGCUCGGUAGAGGUGGCGCGUAUCCCUGAAGACGGUGCGAGCAACGUGCCAUGCCCGUAGCAGCGACUGGGACUACCUAACGUUGCGGAUCUAUCUACCUAUAUAUGUAGGUGUUACUUCUGCAUCUUCUAUGUAACUCUGCCAACUUUGGUUUUUUUCUUAUUGCUCGUUUUGUUGUGUACGUAGUGUGUGGAACAAGUCUGGCACACACACACACAUAAACACAGAACACCGGCCUCCGUCACUCAGAGUUGUCUGUUUGGAAGACAAGGGAAGAGGGAAGAGUGGGUGUUCUAUUCUGUUCCGCUUUCGCUGUCUCGAAUACAGCCUUCGUCCCUGUGCGAUCACUGCUCCACUUUCU